AUUGAACGCUGGCGGCAGGCCUAACACAUGCAAGUCGAAUGGUAACAGGAAACAGCUUGCUGUUUCGCUGACGAGUGGCGGACGGGAGAGUAAUGUCGGGGAAACUGCCUGAUGGAGGGGGUAAACUACUGGAAACGGUAGCUAAAACCGCAUAACGUUGAAAGACCAAAGAGGGGGACCUUCGGGCCUUUUGCCUUUAGAUGUUCCCAGAUGGGAUUAGCUAGUAGGUGGGGUAACGGCUCACCUAGGCGACGAUCCCUAGCUGAUCUGAGAGGGUGACCAGCCACACUGGAACUGAGACACGGUCCAGACUCCUACGGGAGGCAGCAGUGGGGAAUAUUGCGCAAUGGGCGCAAGCCUGAUGCAGCCAUGCCGCGUGUAUGAAGAAGGCCUUCGGGUUGUAAAGUACUUUCAGCGGGGAGGAAGGGAGUAAAGUUAAUACCUUUGCUCAUUGACGUUACCCGCAGAAGAAGCACCGGCUAACUCCGUG
Molecule: ribosomal RNA, 490 nt
Filed under: uncultured bacterium
Lineage: Bacteria
Description: partial 16S ribosomal RNA
Rfam family: Bacterial small subunit ribosomal RNA
Source: RNAcentral